AUGCAGAGGGAGAACAGCCUGUGUCUUCUGUGUCCACUUGCAGAGGGAGAACAGCCUCUUCUGUGUCCACAUGCAGAGGGAGAACAGCCUGUGUCUUCUGUGUCCACUUGCAGAGGGAGAACAGCCUCUGUCUUCUGUGUCCACUUGCAGAGGGAGAACAGCCUCUGUCUUCUGUGUCCACUUGCAGAGGGAGAACAGCCUCUGUCUUCUGUGUCCACUUGCAGCGGGAGAACAGCCUGUGUCUUCUGUGUCCACUUGCAGAGGGAGAACAGCCUGUGUCUUCUGUGUCCACUUGCAGAGGGAGAACAGCCUCUGCCUUCUGUGUCCACUUGCAGAGGGAGAACAGUGUGUCUUCUGCGUCCACUUGCAGAGGGAGAACAGCCUGUGUCUUCUGUGUCCACUUGCAGAGGGAGAACAGCCUGUGUCUUCUGUGUCCACUUGCAGAGGGAGAACAGCCUGUGUCUUCUGUGUCCACUUGCAGAGGGAGAACAGCCUGUGUCUUCUGUGUCCACUUGCAGAGGGAGAACAGCCUGUGUCUUCUGUGUCCACUUGCAGAGGGAGAACAGCCUGUGUCUUCUGUGUCCACUUGCAGAGGGAGAACAGCCUGUGUCUUCUGUGUCCACUUGCAGAGGGAGAACAGCCUGUGUCUUCUGUGUCCACUUGCAGAGGGAGAACAGCCUCUUCUGUGUCCACUUGCAGAGGGAGAACAGCCUGUGUCUUCUGUGUCCACUUGCAGAGGGAGAACAACCUCAGUCUUCUGUGUCCACUUGCAGAGGGAGAACAACCUCUUCUGCGUCCACUUGCAGAGGGAGAACAGCCUGUGUCUUCUGUGUCCACUUGCAGAGGGAGAACAGCCUGUGUCUUCUGUGUCCACUUGCAGAGGGAGAACAACCUCAGUCUUCUGUGUCCACUUGCAGAGGGAGAACAACCUCUUCUGUGUCCACUUGCAGAGGGAGAACAGCCUCUUCUAUGUCCACUUGCAGAGGGAGAACAACCUCAGUCUUCUGUGUCCACUUGCAGAGGGAGAACAACCUCUUCUGUGUCCACUUGCAGAGGGAGAACAGCCUCUUCUGUGUCCACUUGCAGAGGGAGAACAGCCUGUGUCUUCUGUGUCCACUUGCAGAGGGAGAACAGCCUGUGUCUUCUGUGUCCACUUGCAGAGGGAGAACAACCUCUUCUGUGUCCACUUGCAGAGGGAGAACAGCCUCUUCUGUGUCCACUUGCAGAGGGAGAACAGCCUGUGUCUUCUGUGUCCACUUGCAGAGGGAGAACAGCCUCUUCUGUGUCCACUUGCAGAGGGAGAACAGCCUCUUCUGUGUCCACUUGCAGAGGGAGAACAGCCUGUGUCUUCUGUGUCCACUUGCAGAGGGAGAACAGCCUGUGUCUUCUGUGUCCACUUGCAGAGGGAGAACAGCCUGUGUCUUCUGUGUCCACUUGCAGAGGGAGAACAGCCUGUGUCUUCUGUGUCCACUUGCAGAGGGAGAACAGCCUCUUCUGUGUCCACUUGCAGAGGGAGAACAGCCUGUGUCUUCUGUGUCCACUUGCAGAGGGAGAACAGCCUCUUCUGUGUCCACUUGCAGAGGGAGAACAGCCUGUGUCUUCUGUGUCCACUUGCAGAGGGAGAACAACCUCAGUCUUCUGUGUCCACUUGCAGAGGGAGAACAGCCUCUUCUGCGUCCACUUGCAGAGGGAGAACAGCCUGUGUCUUCUGUGUCCACUUGCAGAGGGAGGACAGCCUGUGUCUUCUGUGUCCACUUGCAGAGGGAGAACAGCCUGUGCCUUCUGUGUCCACUUGCAGAGGGAGAACAGCCUGUGUCUUCUGUGUCCACUUGCAGAGGGAGAACAGCCUGUGUCUUCUGUGUCCACUUGCAGAGGGAGAACAGCCUGUGUCUUCUGUGUCCACUUGCAGAGGGAGAACAGUGUGUCUUCUGUGUCCACUUGCAGAGGGAGAACAGCCUCUGUCUUUGCCUCCUCUUAGAAGGACCCCAGUCCUGUCAGGUUAGGGCUCCACCCUUAUGA
Callithrix jacchus (white-tufted-ear marmoset) is the source of this 2019-nucleotide long non-coding RNA. The record is from Ensembl. Lineage: Eukaryota; Metazoa; Chordata; Mammalia; Primates; Cebidae.